Molecule: ribosomal RNA, 90 nt
Filed under: Triticum aestivum (bread wheat)
Lineage: Eukaryota; Viridiplantae; Streptophyta; Magnoliopsida; Poales; Poaceae
Description: partial small subunit ribosomal RNA
Source: RNAcentral
AUGGAAAUUCUCGUGAAUUAUCCGUCGGGGUUUUGCGUACUCCAUCCUUCUGAAAUUCCGUCUUGCUUCUGGGGUUGCGAGCAAAAGUAG